GAGAAAAAGGAAAAAUAGAGUUCACGCCGUCAUCUCGUUAAUGAGAAACCGCAUCAGCUAUGAGCGAUCCGCGCUAUCCUGUCGAAGUCCGACUCAUCGGAGUAAUGAAGAAAGGCAAGGACAAUAAGUUCAUGACAUCCGUGCGGUGGUCAGACCAGACUGAGCUGAUAGUGUACAGAUCCUUCCGGGACUUCAAAACGCUCCAUAAGCAACUGAAAAAGAAGUGUCCUGUGGAUAACGAUUUUCGUAAAGAAGAUAGAGUGCUUCCCAGGUUUGGAGCCCAGUGCAUGGUGACUUCAUUUCAGCUGAAAGGUCUGGAUAAGUCAGUGUCCCGUCUAAGGUGUCUAGAAAAAUACUGUUCCAGCCUGUUGCAGUGUGAUACAACUGUGACACAUUCCUCAGAAGUCAUUAAAUUCUUCCUGCCAACUGAAAAGGAGCUUCUGCCAGAAUAUACCCAAAACAGUAUAAUGAUUCUGCAAUCAGAUAACAUCAACACCGUUAGCGGAGGACCUGACUUGGCAAAUAAACGUCUGAGCAUUGGAAAUGUGACCCAGCCUUUUGUAUCUAAGACAUAUCGAUGUGUGGCUCCAUUUGAGACAAAAGACACAAAGAACAAGCCAUUCAAAGUAACCGUGGAUGAAAGACUGGAUGUGCUGAUCAAAGACAAAGCAGGUUGGUGGCUUGUUGAGAAUGAGGAUAAAUGUCUAGCUUGGUUUCCUGCUCCCUACUUGGAGUUAUGUGAUGAGGAAGAGGAAGAGGAUGGAAAUGAAGAUGAUUAUGAUUCAGUUACCUUUGAAAGUUCUCUUUUCUGCUGUACAAGAAGUUACACCUCGAAAAAAGAGGACGAGCUAUCUCUAAGCAUUGGUGCUGUUGUGGAGGUGUUACAGAGAUCUGAUAAUGGCUGGUGGCUUGUAAGAUAUAACAGAAAAGUAGGCUAUGUGCCCUCUAUGUACCUGAAGCUAUACAGCAGCCCCUUUGGCCUUCAGACUCUUCAGAAGAAACUUCACAGCUCCACUAUCAACCUGUCUGCCAGCAACUCUUUAAAACUGGAGCCUCAGGUGCACCCACGGAGCAGAAUGAAUAGUUUCCUCAAAUCAAACUCUCUGGAAGUGCUGUCAGAGCAGGUACAGCACGAGGAAGCUAGCAGCUUCAGCGAUGAUGGAACCGACUUCAGCUUCAGUUCCUCAGACACUACCUCCAUGAGCUCAAGCAUGUCCAGCUCAGAGGGGGAAGAGGGCCUGAGACAGCAGUAUAAAGAGCCAAACAGCCAUGAUAGUGGUAUGUCCAGUGCCCAGUCAACCUCCACCGACUCAGACAGUAGUUACCCUAUGAAAGGACUCGGAGCUCCCAGGGUGCCACCCAGACCACAAACUCAGGAGAUCCUACGUCGCUGCACGACGUACACUCGUAAAGUUGCUCUCGCAACCUCUGCUCGCCGGGCCUCCGACAGUUGAAGUCAUGGUAAAUAAAUGGACCAUAUGAAAGAGGGGUCAAAUGAUCUCCUUUGGGAUGUUUUGCUGCUUGCUGUUAUGACAGAUGUCUUUUUGCCUCUACAAAUUAUUCAGCAUACAGCUUCUGUAUUAGCUGUGCCCUGGUCUCACAAAACAAAAUGGAUUCUCUGAUGAACAGAAGUUCAACAGAAAUUCAUUGGCCGUUUAUCAAUCAAGGUAAGUAACGUUUUACCACUCCACAUGUCUGUGUUAUUAGUUUUAAAAAUGCGAAGCAGGGCUGCAGGGCCACUUUUCCGCUUCCUACCGAAAUCUCCAGCUGUCCGUGUGAGAGGCAGCUCUGUCCUCAUGAGGGCUGUGGGCAGCAGCAGGUGCUGAGGAAGGAUGCGCAGGCGUAUGAUCAGAGCUGCAGCCACUGGCGACAGCUGUGUCCCAUGUCACAUGGCACAGCUGCACUGUGUAGCCGAGCGGUGGAGACAGAGGUCCAUCGCAGCAAGCCUGCGCAGGAAAAUGCAGUGAAUUCAGAGCCGGAUGACACACAUAAGGAGGGAAAUAAACCUGAUGUAUGAGAGACUGGAGGUUGAUGAUCUAGCGAUUGAAGAAGGAG
This is an RNA transcript of Carassius gibelio (silver crucian carp), 2055 nucleotides long. It is a transcript of the gene named NADPH oxidase organizer 1-like, with no coding region annotated. The transcript is spliced from 10 exons. Lineage: Eukaryota; Metazoa; Chordata; Actinopteri; Cypriniformes; Cyprinidae. The record is from RefSeq and is a predicted model, not a curated record.